UUGUUUGUCUUAGGUUUCGUCACCGGUGAACGGGAUGUGAAGUCGAGGAUUCCAUAAAUAUUACACAGGCAGAAAGUCAAUGGAGCCUAGAAGGUCAAGAUGGAUCAGAAACAAUACAAUGUUUAGCAGCUGCAAGACGAGCCAACGUGAAUUCAAGUUAAACAAAAUUGUAUCGCCAAAACAGUGUGACAAUGGAAUUCAUGGAACAACUUCAGCGCGAGAAAACAGGAUUCCUGGAACCCGAACUAACUCGAGAACUAUGGUGGAAAUUCCAAAAAUAUUCAGUGCUUUCGUUUGGAGCGACCGACGGCUUUUUACUGGGAUGCGUCUAGUCCUUGGACCCAAUGGGAAGUGUCAUCAGUGUUGGUUGUCCUCCCCUAUUUGGUUGUAUCGUUGAUCGGAUUAUUCUGCACCUAUUUUGUAGAUCCAGUUUUGCUCAAAAGGUCACCAAUAGGAAAACCACAAGUUGCCGGUAGUGAUAGUAUUAUAAUUGGUUUUAAGAGUAAGAAACCCACCGUCGUUUCACCCACAAGAGGAUGUACGAAAUAACUUACAAUUUUUAUAAUAAAAUAACAAUUAAACAACGCAGCAUGAUAUCGCACGUAAUCAUCAUCAGAGGAGAUGGUAUUAAUUGCCAAAAUCAGCUAAAACCAUUCAUCACAUUCCAUUUAUUUCUCAACUUAGGUGAACGAGGCCAGCCACGAAACUACGUUGUUGUGUUUCGCUAGGAAGGGAUCGUGGAGUACUACUAACUAAAAUAGAUACUAGAGUAAAAUUAUUCAAACGAAAUAAAGAUAUUCAAACGCA
Long non-coding RNA from Armigeres subalbatus, 807 nucleotides. RefSeq lists it as uncharacterized. The transcript has 2 exons. NCBI's taxonomy places the organism in Eukaryota, Metazoa, Arthropoda, Insecta, Diptera, Culicidae. The record is from RefSeq and is a predicted model, not a curated record.